GACGAACGCUGGCGGCGUGCUUAACACAUGCAAGUCGAACGGAAAGGCUCCAGCUUGCUGGAGUACUCGAGUGGCGAACGGGUGAGUAACACGUGGGUAAUCUGCCCUGCACUCUGGGAUAAGCCUGGGAAACUGGGUCUAAUACUGGAUAUGACCUUUCUCCUUAUGGGGUUUGGUGGAAAGUUUUUCGGUGUAGGAUGAGCCCGCGGCCUAUCAGCUUGUUGGUGGGGUGAUGGCCUACCAAGGCGACGACGGGUAGCCGGCCUGAGAGGGUGAUCGGCCACAUUGGGACUGAGAUACGGCCCAGACUCCUACGGGAGGCAGCAGUGGGGAAUAGUGCACAAUGGGCGGAAGCCUGAUGCAGCGACGCCGCGUGAGGGAUGACGGCCUUCGGGUUGUAAACCUCUUUCAGCAGGGACGAAGCGUAAGUGACGGUACCUGCAGAAGAAGCACCGGCUAACUACG
RNAcentral lists this ribosomal RNA (465 nucleotides) under uncultured bacterium. RNAcentral's name for it is "partial 16S ribosomal RNA". It matches the Rfam family "Bacterial small subunit ribosomal RNA", at positions 28 to 505 of the family's 1533-position model. The record is from RNAcentral.